This 253-nucleotide ribosomal RNA is filed under the name uncultured bacterium. Its description in RNAcentral is "partial 16S ribosomal RNA". It matches the Rfam family "Bacterial small subunit ribosomal RNA", at positions 524 to 776 of the family's 1533-position model. The record is from RNAcentral.
UACAGAGGGUGCAAGCGUUGUUCGGAAUUACUGGGCGUAAAGCGCGUGUAGGCGGCUUUUUAAGUCGGACGUGAAAUCCCUGGGCUUAACCCAGGAACUGCGUCCGAUACUAUCAGGCUAGAGUGUCGGAGGGGGUGGCGGAAUUCCCGGUGUAGAGGUGAAAUUCGUAGAUAUCGGGAGGAACACCUGUGGCGAAGGCGGCUGCCUGGCCCAAUACUGACACUCAGGUGCGACAGCGUGGGGAGCAAACAGG